AACGUAGGAGGCGAGCGUUAUUCGGAUUUACUGGGCGUAAAGCGCGUGCAGGCGGUUCGGGAAGUUGGAUGUGAAAGCUCCUGGCUUAACUGGGAGAGGUCGUUCAAGACUCUCGAACUUGAGAUUGACAGAGGGAAGCGGAAUUCCGGGUGUAGUGGUGAAAUGCGUAGAUAUCCGGAGGAACACCAGUGGCGAAAGCGGCUUCCUGGGUCACAUCUGACGCUCAGACGCGAAAGCUAGGGUAGCAAACGGGAUUAGAGACCCCGGUAGUCCUAGCUGUAAACGAUGUAGACUUGGCGUCUGCGGGUUUAAAUCCGUGGGUGCCGAAGCAAACGCGAUAAGUCUACCGCCUGGGGACUACGGCCGCAAGGUUAAA
RNAcentral lists this ribosomal RNA (376 nucleotides) under uncultured bacterium. RNAcentral's name for it is "bacterial SSU rRNA". It matches the Rfam family "Bacterial small subunit ribosomal RNA", at positions 524 to 898 of the family's 1533-position model. The record is from RNAcentral.